UGGGGAUGUAGCUCAGUGGUGGAGUACUUGCCUAGCCUGAGCAAGGCCCUGGGUUCCAUCCCCAGCUCCUGAA
This 73-nucleotide transfer RNA is filed under the name Marmota monax (woodchuck). RNAcentral's name for it is "tRNA.Undet". The stretch from base 2 to 64 matches the Rfam family "tRNA". Rfam says of the family: Transfer RNA (tRNA) molecules are approximately 80 nucleotides in length. Their secondary structure includes four short double-helical elements and three loops (D, anti-codon, and T loops). Further hydrogen bonds mediate the characteristic L-shaped molecular structure. tRNAs have two regions of fundamental functional importance: the anti-codon, which is responsible for specific mRNA codon recognition, and the 3' end, to which the tRNAs corresponding amino acid is attached (by aminoacyl-tRNA synthetases). tRNAs cope with the degeneracy of the genetic code in two manners: having more than one tRNA (with a specific anti-codon) for a particular amino acid; and 'wobble' base-pairing, i.e. permitting non-standard base-pairing at the 3rd anti-codon position. The record is from RNAcentral. Lineage: Eukaryota; Metazoa; Chordata; Mammalia; Rodentia; Sciuridae.